Populus euphratica (Euphrates poplar) is the source of this 804-nucleotide long non-coding RNA. RefSeq lists it as uncharacterized. The transcript has 2 exons. The record is from RefSeq and is a predicted model, not a curated record. Lineage: Eukaryota; Viridiplantae; Streptophyta; Magnoliopsida; Malpighiales; Salicaceae.
UACAGUAUUUUUCUAAUUUUAGUAUCAAUGACCAGAUGGGGUUGUGGUGAUGUGGAUUCUUUCUAAGCCACUGUUUCUUCAGAUUAAUUUCAAUAAAUACUUUGCUUUAGGGUUUAGACAGAUCUGCAUGCUUUUCCUCUAAAUGGUGGUGAAUUAGCAGGCCCGUGUUAACUAGACAGCCGUGCACUUGGUUCAGCUGAGCUGUAAAAAUAUUCACAAGAAGCAAUACAAUGGUAGAGUAUCUUGCUAUCUUUUUCGUCUAUGGAGUAAGCAAUUAGCUAAAUCACAUAAAUAUAUUUUUUUUUUCUCUUUUAUGUUUUCUCAAUCUUUGUAGCGUUGUACUGUACGAUAAAUUUGUCUAAGAUCUUAAACAAAUUCCUAGCAAAGUAGAAUCAAGGCUUUGAUUUGCACUAACCCUUCAUCUAUCAUUACACGUGAAAAUGAUAACAAAAACUUAAUUAAAGAAGAUAGUGAAAAAAAAUCUAAUUGAAGAAGAAGAAAAAUGAUCUAUCUAUCUCUCUCUCUGUCAUGGAUUGCAGGUCUCAAAUCUCUACACUUUAUCACCUCUCUCUUCCUCUUUCCUUAUCACCUUUGUUAAAGCCAUUCGAUAUACUAUAAGUUCUCACCAGCAAAGUUGCCUAAAUGGUGGUGGUUUGGGUAGAAGAUCCAUGGUGGUUUAUAUGGUUGUAAGUAUUUUGUGGUACGACAGUAGUUGAAAGUUUGCAGCAGAUUGAAUCUACUACCGUGGCAGGACAUAAAAGGGAUAAGGAGUAGGAGGUCUAUGAAAACCAUAAAGACUAUGGU